Molecule: ribosomal RNA, 474 nt
Filed under: uncultured bacterium
Lineage: Bacteria
Description: bacterial SSU rRNA
Rfam family: Bacterial small subunit ribosomal RNA
Source: RNAcentral
AGUGAACGCUGGCGGCGUGCUUAACACAUGCAAGUCGAACGAGAACAGAAGAGAGCUUGCUCUUUUGCUGCUAAGUGGCGCACGGGUGAGUAAUAUAUAGGUAAUAUGCCUCUUACUAAGGGAUAAUUGAUGGAAACGUCUUGUAAUACCUUAUAUGCCUUUUGAACAUAAGUUCGUAAAGGGAAAGAUUUAUCGGUAAGAGAUUAGCCUGUACGGUAUCAGAUAGUUGGUGGGGUAAUGGCCUACCAAGUCUAUGACACCUAACUGGUUUGAGAGGAUGAUCAGUCACACUGGAACUGAGACACGGUCCAGACUCCUACGGGAGGCAGCAGUGGGGAAUAUUGCACAAUGGACGAAAGUCUGAUGCAGCAACGCCGCGUGGAGGAUGACACAUUUCGGUGCGUAAACUCCUUUUANAUGAGAAGAUAAUGACGGUAUCAUAUGAAUAAGCACCGGCUAACUCCGUGCCAGCAG